RNAcentral lists this transfer RNA (75 nucleotides) under Candidatus Pacearchaeota archaeon. Its description in RNAcentral is "tRNA-Phe". It matches the Rfam family "tRNA". Rfam says of the family: Transfer RNA (tRNA) molecules are approximately 80 nucleotides in length. Lineage: Archaea; Nanobdellati. The record is from RNAcentral.
GGCUAGGUAGCUCAGUCUGGUAGUAGCACCUGUUUGAAGUACAGGGUGUCGUCGGUUCAAAUCCGACCCUAGCCA